GGCACAUUCUCUAUCACUCUGCUUCUUGUAGUGUCCUCCCUUGUCGACGGGCGUAAGAAGUGAUGAAUGGCGUUUUUAGUUUUAUUUUAUUUUCAAAAUUGUAGGUUUGGGAGAUUUUCUCAUUUUUGAAAUACACUUGUAACAGUGUGAGCACACUGCAGUCUGGAUGCAAAAUUUGGUGGCUCUAGCUUUUAUAGUCUCUGAGAUCCAGGCGCUCAAUAAGACGGACGGACAGGCAGACA
Molecule: long non-coding RNA, 242 nt
Filed under: Drosophila guanche
Lineage: Eukaryota; Metazoa; Arthropoda; Insecta; Diptera; Drosophilidae
Source: RNAcentral